UACGUAGGGGGCUAGCGUUGCUCGGAAUUACUGGGCGUAAAGGGCGCGUAGGCGGAUAUCUAAGUUGGGGGUGAAAUCCCGGGGCUCAACCUCGGAAUUGCCUUCAAAACUGGAUAUCUUGAGUUCGGGAGAGGUGAGUGGAACUCCGAGUGUAGAGGUGAAAUUCGUAGAUAUUCGGAAGAACACCGGUGGCGAAGGCGGCUCACUGGCCCGAUACUGACGCUGAGGUGCGAAAGCGUGGGGAGCAAACAGG
RNAcentral lists this ribosomal RNA (253 nucleotides) under uncultured bacterium. Its description in RNAcentral is "partial 16S ribosomal RNA". It matches the Rfam family "Bacterial small subunit ribosomal RNA", at positions 524 to 776 of the family's 1533-position model. The record is from RNAcentral.